Molecule: ribosomal RNA, 429 nt
Filed under: uncultured bacterium
Lineage: Bacteria
Description: partial 16S ribosomal RNA
Rfam family: Bacterial small subunit ribosomal RNA
Source: RNAcentral
UGAGGAAUAUUGCGCAAUGGACGAAAGUCUGACGCAGCGACGCCGCGUGGAGGAUGAAGGUCUUCGGAUUGUAAACUUCUGUUAAGUGGGAAAAAAUACGCAGGUCUAAUACAUCUGCGGAAUGAUUGUACCAUUAGAGAAAGCACCGGCUAACUUCGUGCCAGCAGCCGCGGUAAUACGAAGGGUGCAAGCAUUAUUCGGAAUCAUUGGGCGUAAAGGGUGCGCAGGCGGUAUGUUAAGUCAGUUGUUAAAUUCUUCGGCCUAACUGAAGGACAGCAGCAGAUACUGGCAAGCUAGAGUGUGGAAGAGAGAAGUGGAAUUCUCGGAGUAGCGGUAAAACGCGUAGAUCUCGAGAGGAACACCAAUGGCGAAGGCAGCUUCUUGGUCCAUUACUGACGCUCAUGCACGAAAGCGUGGGGAGCAAACAGG